GGGUGACUGCGUACCUUUUGUAUAAUGGGUCAGCGACUUAUAUUCUGUAGCAAGGUUAACCGAAUAGGGGAGCCGUAGGGAAACCGAGUCUUAACUGGGCGAAUGAGUUGCAGGGUAUAGACCCGAAACCCGGUGAUCUAGCCAUGGGCAGGUUGAAGGUUGGGUAACACUAACUGGAGGACCGAACCGACUAAUGUUGAAAAAUUAGCGGAUGACUUGUGGCUGGGGGUGAAAGGCCAAUCAAACCGGGAGAUAGCUGGUUCUCCCCGAAAGCUAUUUAGGUAGCGCCUCGUGAACUCAUCUUCGGGGGUAGAGCACUGUUUCGGCUAGGGGGUCAUCCCGACUUACCAACCCGAUGCAAACUACGAAUACCGAAGAAUGUUAUCACGGGAGACACACGGCGGGUGCUAACGUUCGUCGUGAAGAGGGAAACAACCCAGACCGCCAGCUAAGGUCCCAAAGUCAUGGUUAAGUGGGAAACGAAGUGGGAAGGCUCAGACAGCCAGGAUGUUGGCUUAGAAGCAGCCAUCAUUUAAAGAAAGCGUAAUAGCUCACUGGUCGAGUCGGCCUGCGCGGAAGAUGUAACGGGGCUAAACCAUGCACCGAAGCUGCGGCAGCGACAUGUAAAUGUUGUUGGGUAGGGGAGCGUUCUGUAAGCCUGUGAAGGUGUGCUGCGAGGCAUGCUGGAGGUAUCAGAAGUGCGAAUGCUGACAUAAGUAACGAUAAUGCGGGUGAAAAACCCGCACGCCGGAAGACCAAGGGUUCCUGUCCAACGUUAAUCGGGGCAGGGUGAGUCGACCCCUAAGGCGAGGCAGAAAUGCGUAGUCGAUGGGAAACAGGUUAAUAUUCCUGUACUGGUGAUAAUUGCGAUGGGGGGACGGAGAAGGCUAGGCUGGCCGGGCGACGGUUGUCCCGGUUUAAGGAUGUAGGUGGGUGAAUUAGGCAAAUCCGGUUCGCUAUACACUGAGGUCUGAUGACGAGUCACUACGGUGGCGAAGUAGCUCAUGCCCCGCUUCCAGGAAAAGCCUCUAAGCUCUAGAUUAUCAUUAAUCGUACCCCAAACCGACACAGGUGGUCAGGUAGAGAAUACUCAGGCGCUUGAGAGAACUCGGGUGAAGGAACUAGGCAAAAUGGUGCCGUAACUUCGGGAGAAGGCACGCUGGC
This 1164-nucleotide ribosomal RNA is filed under the name Providencia stuartii. RNAcentral describes it as "partial 23S ribosomal RNA". It matches the Rfam family "Bacterial large subunit ribosomal RNA", at positions 591 to 1755 of the family's 2925-position model. The record is from RNAcentral. Lineage: Bacteria; Pseudomonadati; Pseudomonadota; Gammaproteobacteria; Enterobacterales; Morganellaceae.